Long non-coding RNA from Equus asinus (donkey), 1936 nucleotides. The record is from Ensembl. NCBI's taxonomy places the organism in Eukaryota, Metazoa, Chordata, Mammalia, Perissodactyla, Equidae.
UUUUUUCUCUGAAGAAGUUAAGCACGUGUUCCAUGGCCUGAGACCUGCGAAGAGGUCUCGCACUGUUUGUCAUUGUGAUCUGCGGGCUGCCGUGCGUGUUGCAGGGAGCACGAUGGCUGCGGACACAGCUGCCCGAGUCGGUGACUCAGGAGCGCUGUCUGCGUUGAGUGCUGCUGUGUCAGCACAGACAUGUCCAGAGUCCGGGCAGCACUCAGGCUCACAGGUUGGUGACUUUACUCGUCAGGAAUCUCCCCAGGCACAAGGUCCAGCCUUCCAAAAUGAUGCUUCAGGUUUAUUUCUUAUCAGAUUCAAGAUGCACACCCACGAGGGAAUGGACCUUCCCAGUUAUCCAUAACACAGCUUCAGUGGUGCUGGAGUCCCGUGUAAUUAACAAACCCUUGGAGACGUUUGUUUGCACGUGUGCAUCAAGAUAACCUGAAUUUUAGCCUUCACAUCCAUUUUUUUCUCCUGAAGCUGCUUCUGGUUGGAAAGUCACCAAAUUUCAUCAGCCUGGGCCUCGGUGUUUCCGCUUUCCAUCAUCUCCAUAGUCUCCAAGCGCCUAGAUCCUCGCGGCCUCGGUGUUUCCGCUUUCCAUCAUCUCCAUAGUCUCUAAGCACUUAGAUCCUCGCAGCCUCGGUGUUUCCGUUUUCCAUCAUCUCCAUAGUCUCUAAGCGCCUAGAUCCUCGCAGCCUCGGUGUUUCCGUUUUCCAUCAUCUCCAUAGUCUCUAAGCGCCUAGAUCCUCGCAGCCUCGGUGUUUCCGUUUUCCAUCAUCUCCAUAGUCUCCUAUGCCCAGAUCCGAGUACUCUGGGGACAGGAACUCCCAGUAUCAGUCUCGUUCUCUGGCCAUCUUUUCUGGCCUGUUUUGUCAGCGUUGGAUGGAAAUGUGUCCUCGUCCUCAUUCCGUCCUGCUCGUGGAUGUGAGGCAGGACCCCCUCCCGGAGCCUCUCCUGCCCACUCCAGUAAGCUGUUGUGAGAAUUUGACAGAAUCAUGCAAGUGAGAGGAUUACAAACGUUAAAGCAUUACAGAAGGUGUUGUUAUAAUGAAACGUGGAUCCUGGGCUCACGUUGGGGUGGGGCUGAGCCUCCUCCAGUCCUUCUGCUUGCGUGUGUAACCUCUGGUGAAAUACUGAUAAUCGUUGCUAAGUGGCUCAGGCUUCUUCACAUCCUGUGUUUCUCCUGUGGCUUUCACAGGGCAGGCCCGUCUGCCGUGAACUGAUGCUGCUGAGAAGGGUGAGGUGGGAAGACACGUAGCUACAAAGGACCUGGGGGCUCUGGUUAAGUGAGACGUCUUAGAUCUGAGCUCACCGCUCCAACCCAGAAAGGAACAACAGCAACGAUGGUACGAGACCCGUAGUACAGUCAGCUGGCGGCUCAGCACCGUGGUCUCAUCACCAAAGUUCCCCUUCAGCCACGUUCCGUCUCUCGCAGCCACCUUAUCAGGAACAUCAAAUUUAACUGAGGUCCUACUGGCUCAGUGACAUCUCAGCACAUAGUUCUGCUUAUGAAAUAGGCACCAAACCCUACACCAAGUAGACAACCAUGAGGAAUCCACAGAUUCUUCCUUAAGAAACUCACAUGCAGAUGAACACACACAAAGAAUGUUCACUGUGGUUAUUGCUGCAGGAGAGGUGUGUUCAAGGUGCCAUGGGAGGACAGAAGAUGGAGCAACGUGCCUGACUCCGUGCAGGAAGUCAAGGAGGAGCUGGCACGUGAGCCGGGCCUUCAGGGAUGGGCAGAUGUUCAGAGCAGGCUGUGGGGCCCACCCAGCUGGUUCAGAUCCCGACCCUGCCACUUCCCAACUACACAACGUGGCUGGUUACUUACUUUUUGAUGCCCGGUGUCCUUCCUCCACAAUGGAUGUGGUGGUACUGACUGAGCCGCCUCAGGGGUCACCGUGAGCAGAAGGGAGUCUAGGCGAGUGUGGCCCUCAGAACA